AUACCUUUCUCGGCCUUUUGGCUAAGAUGAAGUGUAGUAUCUGUUCUUAUCAGUUUAAUAUCUGAUACGUGGGCUAUUAGCCCACAUGAUAUUAACUCAAUUUUUUUAGGAGAAAGCCUAUUAAGAUAGCUUUCUGUCUGGGCUUUCGAGUGUCGCCUUAGCGUUGCACUAUUGCCUCGGCCUGGCGCACCCCAC
This 195-nucleotide small nuclear RNA is filed under the name Ipomoea nil (Japanese morning glory). RNAcentral describes it as "U2 spliceosomal RNA". It matches the Rfam family "U2 spliceosomal RNA". Rfam says of the family: U2 is a small nuclear RNA (snRNA) component of the spliceosome (involved in pre-mRNA splicing). Lineage: Eukaryota; Viridiplantae; Streptophyta; Magnoliopsida; Solanales; Convolvulaceae. The record is from Rfam by way of RNAcentral.